This is an RNA transcript of Fragaria vesca subsp. vesca, 3340 nucleotides long. It is a transcript of the gene named transportin-3-like, with no coding region annotated. NCBI's taxonomy places the organism in Eukaryota, Viridiplantae, Streptophyta, Magnoliopsida, Rosales, Rosaceae. The record is from RefSeq and is a predicted model, not a curated record. The transcript is spliced from 26 exons.
CCCGAUAAAAAUCGAAACCGGAGAGAGAGAGAGCAAGAGAGCUUCAGUAGCUUAAGCUGGAGUGACCAGAUUGGCAGAAACGAUGGAGCUCCAGAACACUGUGAAAGAUGCCCUAAACGCACUGUACCAUCAUCCCGACGACGCCGUUCGGAUGGAAGCCGAUCGCUUUCUGCAGAAUUUCCAGAAAACCCUAGACGCCUGGCAGGUUGCUGAUAACUUGCUUCACGACUCCACUAGCAAUCUGGAAACUUUGAUAUUUUGCUCCCAGACCCUUAGAAGCAAGGUACAACGAGAUUUUGAAGAACUACCUUCUGAAGCUUUUCGCCCAUUGCGCGAUUCCUUAAAUAACUUAUUGAGAGAGUUCCAUAAGGGUGCCCCUAAAGUCAGAACUCAGAUUAGCAUUGCUGUUGCUGCUCUGGCUGUACACGUUCCUGCUGAAGAUUGGGGGGAUGGUGGUAUAGUAAACUGGCUUCGGGAUGAGAUGAAUUCACAUCCAGAAUAUAUACCCGGAUUUUUAGAGUUACUGACAGUUUUGCCUGAGGAAGUAUUCAACUACAAGAUAGCAGCUCGCCCGGAAAGACGCCGGCAAUUCGAGAAAGAACUUACUUCUCAAAUGGAGGUUGCUCUUAACAUAUUGACAGCAUGCCUGCAAAUGUAUUCAGUCUUCCUUGAGAAAAUUGAAUAGAGAAAGUCUUGGUUUUUAACUUCUGUUCGUUUCAGGAUCCCUGGAUCUAUUCUUGCAUCUCACCCAUUGGUGCUCACAGCUCUUUCCAGCUUGAAUUCUGAAUUCGUUUCAGAGGCAGCUGUAAACGUUAUUUCCGAGUUGAUACACUAUACAACAUCUAGAGAAUCUGGUGGUGUGCAAGUUCAAAUGCCUCUAAUUCAAGUCAUUGUUCCCCAAGUGAUGAAUCUCAAGGCACAGCUUAGAGACUCUUCCAAGGAUGAAGAAGAUGUGAAGGCUAUUGCUCGAUUAUUUGCUGACAUGGGGGAUUCAUACGUCGACCUGAUUGCAACUGGUUCUGAUGAAUCAAAGUUGAUUGUACAAGCAUUAUUGGAAGUUGCUGCACAUCCAGAAUAUUAUAUUGCUUCCAUGACAUUCAAUUUUUGGCAUAGUCUUCAGGUGACCUUGACAAGAAGGGAUUCUUAUAUUUCAUUGGGUAAUGAAUUCUCCAUUGAAGCUGAGCAAAACAGAAGACUGCAUAUAUUCCGCCCGGCUUAUGAGUCGCUCGUAUCUUUGGUUAGCUUCCGAAUUCAAUAUCCUCGAGAUUAUCAAGACCUGUCAUAUGAGGACCUUAAGGAGUUCAAGCAGACUAGAUACGCUGUUGCGGAUGUUUUAAUUGACGCAGCAUCAGUUUUAGGAGGUGAUGCGGCACUGAGAAUUCUUUACAUGAAACUUGAUGAGGCCGCAGCCUGCUGUCAGAAUGAAGAAAGUGAAUGGCGCCCAGCAGAAGCUGCUUUAUUUGGCAUCCGGGCUAUAUCAAGUUAUGUAUCUGUAGUGGAAGCUGAAGUAAUGCCUAAGGUCAUGGGCAGACUACUAAAACUACCUCAGCAUCCCCAACUUCUUCAGACAGUGUGCUUAACAAUAGGAGCUUAUUCAAAAUGGCUUGAUGCGGCAUCUGGUGGACUCUCUAUACUGCCUUCAGUUAUAGAUGUCCUCAUGAAUGGCCUUGCUAAAUCUGAAGAUUCUGCAGCAGCUGCAGCUUUGGCAUUUCGGCAGAUCUGUGAUGAUUGCCGGUUAAAGCUCUGUGGAUGUUUGGAAGGCCUUUUUAAUAUAUAUCACAGGGCAGUGAAUGGUGAAGGUACUUUGAAAGUCUGUGCUGACGAUUCAUUGCAUCUAGUUGAAGCUUUAAGCAAGGUCAUUAGUGAACUUCCCCCAGACCAAGCUAAAAGGGCUCUUGAGGCCUUGUGUUUGCCAGUCGUUAGUCCUUUACAGGAAGUUCUUAGCCAAGCGCCAGAGAUGCUAAAUAACAGGCCUGCUCGUGAUUUCACAGUUCAUAUUGAUCGGUUUGGGUACAUCUUUAGAUAUGUAACUCAUGCAGAAGCUGUGGCAGAUGCAGUCCAGAGGCUUUGGCCAAUUUUCAAAGCCAUAUUUGAACUUCGUGCUUGGGACAUGCGGACAAUGGAGUCUAUUUGCCGAGCUUGCAAAUACGCUGUGAGAACUUCUGGAAGGUGCAUGGGAACUACAAUUGGAGAGAUGCUAGAGAAGAUUCAAGAAUUAUUUAAACAGCAUCACCAACCAUGCUUUCUUUAUCUCUCUAGUGAAGUUAUAAAGAUAUUUGGCUCAGACCCGUCGUGUGCUGAUUAUUUGAGAAAUUUGAUUGAAUCACUAUUUCAGCAUACAACACGUAUUCUCACGAGCAUCCAAGAAUUUACUUCCAGACCAGAUAUAGCAGAUGAUUGCUUUCUACUGGCGUCAAGAUGCAUCCGUUAUUGUCCGCACUUGUUUAUUCCUUCUGCAGCAUUUCCAGCGUUAGUAGAUUGCUCCUUGAUUGGAAUAACAGUACAACACAGGGAGGCGUCAAAUUCAAUAUUGACCUUCUUAUCAGAUAUAUUUGAUCAUGCAAACUCCACUGAGGGGGCAAUAUACUCACCCAUCAGGGAUACUGUAAUUAUUCCUCGAGGACCCAGCAUGGCAAGAGUUUUGAUUGCUGCAUUAACAGGAGCAAUUCCAAGCUCUCGCCUAGAAAAUGUAACUUAUGCACUACUAUCACUAUCUCGAACAUAUGGGGCACAGUCAGUGGAGUGGGCCAGGGGGAGUGUUUCAUUAAUUCCUUCGACGGCUGUGACAGAAGUUGAGCGUGCAAGGUUUUUACAGGCAUUGGCAGAUGCUGCAGCUGGGGUUAAUGUCAAUUCCCUUUCAGUUCCACUCGAGGAGCUAUCAGAUGUUUGCCGGCGUAACCGAACAGUCAUGGAUAUUGUUCAAGGAGCUUUGAGGCCGACAUGAAUUGAAUAUAGCAGCUGUAUCAUAAGAGAAAGGAAUAUGUCAUCAGAGGGGCCAUUUUUCUUAGGCCUCUCCCCCUGUCGGUAAAAUGAGUUUUAUCUGUUGCGUGAAUUUGUUUUCAUUAUUUUUUUUUUCUCUGGAUUUACUUUGAUUCUCCACAUUUUAAGGAGAGUCAAUGCCCUUUUACAUAGGGUGGGGAGGGAGAAGAAUGGUGGUAUCUGUAUUUUGAGUGAUUUCCUUGGCGUUGUCAUUUUUGGGGUUAAGAUGACAUGGUAUAGAGAGCUGUAGAUUAAUACAAGGAAAGAAAUUGUAGGCAUUCUUUAGGAGAGAGAGAGUAUUCCAUCCUUUCAUGUUAUUGAAAUAUUGGAAGCUGUGGAUAGUUGGGUUUAGUCUAGCGGG